CAUUCUCUAGUUGAUUGAUAAAAACUAAAAUAAUUGUUGACCUUAAGAAUGAUUUUGAUGAUCAUAAAAUAUUAAAGCAUAAAGUUAAACUAAUAUCUUUCAAGUUUUCUAAAGAAUGUUUUUAUAGAAAGAAAGUAUCCUUAGAAAGGCUUGAAAACAAUUGCGAAGAAUUUGAGCCAAGAAAAAUUAAAAUUGGAGUCAAGUUACUUGAGAAAGAUAAUUUUGAAGAGGUCGAAUCGACUCCUGAUA
This 249-nucleotide long non-coding RNA is filed under the name Elaeis guineensis (African oil palm). RNAcentral's name for it is "long non-coding RNA (EGUI_LNC033733)". Lineage: Eukaryota; Viridiplantae; Streptophyta; Magnoliopsida; Arecales; Arecaceae. The record is from RNAcentral.